GGCCGUCUGGCGAAAUGGCAUCGCGUCUGACUACGAUAUUGAACAGGGGUUCGCGUUAUCAGGAGAUUGCAGGUUCGACCCCUGCGUCGGUCA
This 93-nucleotide transfer RNA is filed under the name Armillaria gallica. RNAcentral describes it as "tRNA-Arg". It matches the Rfam family "tRNA". From Rfam's summary of the family: Transfer RNA (tRNA) molecules are approximately 80 nucleotides in length. The record is from RNAcentral. Lineage: Eukaryota; Fungi; Basidiomycota; Agaricomycetes; Agaricales; Physalacriaceae.